Molecule: ribosomal RNA, 253 nt
Filed under: uncultured bacterium
Lineage: Bacteria
Description: partial 16S ribosomal RNA
Rfam family: Bacterial small subunit ribosomal RNA
Source: RNAcentral
UACGAAGGGGGCUAGCGUUGCUCGGAAUCACUGGGCGUAAAGCGCACGUAGGCGGCUUUUUAAGUCAGGGGUGAAAUCCUGGAGCUCAACUCCAGAACUGCCUUUGAUACUGAGAAGCUUGAGUCCGGGAGAGGUGAGUGGAACUGCGAGUGUAGAGGUGAAAUUCGUAGAUAUUGGGAAGAACACCGGUGGCGAAGGCGGCUCACUGGCUCAUUACUGACGCUCAGGCGCGAUAGCGUGGGGAUCAAACAGG